RNAcentral lists this long non-coding RNA (229 nucleotides) under Elaeis guineensis (African oil palm). Its description in RNAcentral is "long non-coding RNA (EGUI_LNC024382)". Lineage: Eukaryota; Viridiplantae; Streptophyta; Magnoliopsida; Arecales; Arecaceae. The record is from RNAcentral.
CCCCCUAUUUUUGUAUUUGGAAUUGAGAUUUAUGAUUGUUUGAUUAAUCUAUUUGUCUUAUUUGAAAGUUUUUUUAAAAAAAAAAUUUAAACUAUUUAUAAGACCUAUGCUUUAUUUCUAUCCUCCAAUACACUAUUCUAAAAAAAGAAUGCAUUGGGCUUUUCCUUUCUCCUCAGACUCUUUAGGCAUAGCUAAAGGUAAAUUGCUCGAUUCCAUUAUCAAUGGUAUC